UGAGAAUUACAUAUUUGUUGGCUGCCUUGUUCAUAGUUUUUUUUUUUACAAUCAUGGAGAUUUGAAGGCAACCCUAAUAUCAUUAAAUCACACAGCAAGGAUAUUACCUGGAACACAUCACACAACAGACCUAUUAGUAAGGGACGAAAUAUCCUCAUCAUUAAGCACCAUGACUUUUAUUUUUGGUGUCUGUUUG
Long non-coding RNA from Ipomoea nil (Japanese morning glory), 196 nucleotides. RefSeq lists it as uncharacterized. NCBI's taxonomy places the organism in Eukaryota, Viridiplantae, Streptophyta, Magnoliopsida, Solanales, Convolvulaceae. The record is from RefSeq and is a predicted model, not a curated record. The transcript is spliced from 3 exons.